Oncorhynchus tshawytscha (Chinook salmon) is the source of this 2986-nucleotide long non-coding RNA. NCBI's taxonomy places the organism in Eukaryota, Metazoa, Chordata, Actinopteri, Salmoniformes, Salmonidae. The record is from Ensembl.
CUAGAGAGAACCACCUCAUGUUAGUGUAGAUAGAACCAGUAUAGAUCUAGACCACCUAGAGAGAACCACCUCAUGUUAGUGUAGAUAGAACCAGUAUAGAUCUAGACCACCUAGAGAGAACCACCUCAUGUUAGUGUAGAUAGAACCAGUAUAGAUCUAGACCACCUAGAGAGGAACCACCUCAUGUUAGUGUAGAUAGAACCAGUAUAGAUCUAGACCACCUAGAGAGAACCACCUCAUGUUAGUAUAGAUUGAACCAGUAUAGAUCUAGACCACCUAGAGAGGAACCAUCUCAUGUUAGUGUAGAUUGAACCAGUAUAGAUCUAGACCACCUAGAGAGAAACCACCUCAUGUUAGUGUAGAUAGAACCAGUAUAGAUCUACACAACCUAGAGAGAAACCACCUCAUGUUAGUGUAGAUAUAACCAGUAUAGAUCUAGACCACCUAGAGAGAAACCACCAGGUGUCCCAAAGUCUUAAAGAAACAAACCAACCAAUCAACUGACUGAGACCAUUUUACUAACUAGUCAGUUAUAGAAGCUAGGAGGGGUUUGAUGAUAAUGAAGACAGUGAGGUUUCAGAUUGUGUUGUAGGAGCAUUAUAGGUUGGUUGCUGUAACGUUGCAGGGUGGUUGUAGGAGGGUUUGGUCUGCGAGAGACUGUAAACGUCCUGAUCCUUUACAUUAUCAGGGUUAGAGGUCAGGCUAACACAACGUCCUUAACUCAUCCUUUUCAGGGUCAGGGGUUAAAGGUCAGGGAUUGAGCACAAUAAUCAGAAUAUUAAAUAUUUUUGUGUCUAAGGAGAUCAAAUGUUAAUUUGACUGAUUUAAAAAAUGCAGUGUCUUCAAACCCUUCUGACAGACAACACAGAAAGAUGUUUACCAACACACAAUUAUUACACACACUGGUUUAUACACUGAUUACAUGUAUUAAUGGUUUAUAAACUGUAUUAAUGGUUUAUAGCACACUAUAAUGGUUCAUAAACACUCUACGGCGGUAAGAACGCGUAAUACUCAUUUUUACUAUUGCACUCUAUUACAACCUACCAACUCUGAAAGAAAGAGAAAACCAAACCAACUGUAGACGUGAUAGAAGGUGCUGUCUGACUGGGCUUGGUGUACAUACUGUAACAUACAGUCUGGUUGAAGAUUUAUUAUCAUAUUAUAUUAUGACUCUGUCCUUUAUGAGAUCGCUCUGCUUGCUUGACUGAUGAACCUUGGGCUGUUCCCAAUGGGCCCCUAUUCACUAUGUAGUACACUACCCAUAGGGCUCUGGUCUAAAGUAGUGCACUAUAUAGGGCCCUGAUCUAAAGUAGUUCACUAUAUAGGGAAUAGGGUGCCAUUUGGGAUGUAUUUUGUGUUGUUUACUGUAGUGGACCCUAUAUAGCAGUGCACUACUUCAACCAGAGCUUUCUAUAAAUAGGGAACAGGGAGUCAUUGGGGAUGCGACCCGUGGUUUCACAUUAUCUUACUACUGGGUGUCCCAAUAGCUCCCUGUUCACUAUAUACUAGUGCACUAUGUAGGGAAUAGGGGACCCAACUAUGAGAUUAUUAUUACUGGUGUUCUGUUAAUAUAUUAAACGACUGAGUUGAUUUAUUUUGCAUGAGUUUGUAACAGUUUUUACAUUUUCAAAACUUUUCAAAAAUAUUAUGAAGUAUUAAAAAAAGAUGACGUGUCUAUUUUUCUGUUUUUUCUCUGCUGGUGUUUGAGUAUUAAAUGUUUAUUUAUGAAUAUUAUGAUUAUUCUAAUUUAAGACAUUUAUUGAUCUGUGGUUUGUUAUUUUAAUGCAGACCAAAUGGCACCCUAUUCCCUAUAUAGGGCACUACUUUAGAUCAGGACCCAUAGGGAUGUGGUUAAAAGUAGGGCACUACUUUAGAUCAGGACCCAUAGGGAGGUGGUUAAAAGUAGGGCACUACUUUAGAUCAGGUCCCAUAGGGAUGUGGUUAAAAGUAGGGCACUACUUUAGAUCAGGACCCAUAGGGAUGUGGUUAAAAGUAGGACACUACUUUAGAUCAGGACCCAUAGGGAUGUGGUUAAAAGUAGGGCACUACUUAGAUCAGGACCCAGAGGGAUGAGGUUAAAAGUAGGGCACUACUUUAGAUCAGGACCCAUAGGGAUGUGGUUAAAAGUAGGGCACUACUUUAGAUCAGGACCCAUAGGGAUGUGGUUAAAAGUAGGGCACUACUUUAGAUCAGGACCCAUAGGGAUGCGGUUAAAAGUAGGCCACUACUUUAGAUCAGGACCCAUAGGGAUGUGGUUAAAAGUAGGGCACUACUUUAGAUCAGGACCCAUAGGGAGGUGGUAAAAGUAGGGCACUACUUUAGAUCAGGACCCAUAGGGAUGUGGUUAAAAGUAGGGCACUACUUUAGAUCAGGACCCAUAGGGAUGUGGUUAAAAGUAGGGCACCACUUUAGAUCAGGACCCAUAGGGAGGUGGUUAAAAGUAGGGCACUACUUUAGAUCAGGACCCAUAGGGAUGUGGUUAAAAGUAGGGCACUACUUUAGAUCAGGACCCAUAGGGAUGUGGUUAAAAGUAGGGCACUACUUUAGAUCAGGACCCAUAGGGAUGUGGUUAAAAGUAGGGCACUACUUUAGAUCAGGACCCAUAGGGAUGUGGUUAAAAGUAGGGCACCACUUUAGAUCAGGACCCAUAGGGAGGUGGUUAAAAGUAGGGCACUACUUUAGAUCAGGACCCAUAGGGAUGUGGUUAAAAGUAGGGCACUACUUUAGAUCAGGACCCAUAGGGAUGUGGUUAAAAGUAGGGCACUACUUUAGAUCAGGUCCCAUAGGGAUGUGGUUAAAAGAAGGGCACGAAAGGGAAAAGGGUGCCAUUUGGAAAGCAGUGUUUUGUUUCUACUUCCUGUCACUUUGUACAUUUGGGUUUCCUUGGCGACGUUCUUUUACGACUGCGAUUGUCACAAUGACAACACUUGUUUUAUCUAUUUCAUAAAAGAUAAACAUUGGAACUAAAUAAACUAUAAACCCUCAA